GGCUGUAAAAUUUGGAUUUUUAAUGGGAUGGAGAAGCACAGAUUUCAGCUACCUCUUCAUUGCAGUGGGUAUUGCCAAGCUAAUAAUGCAGUUACAGGGUGCUGCUUUCAAUGAGGGGGGGAAGAAGCUCGCAGGGAGCUGUUCCUGUUUCCUCGCCCUUCAGUUCUCAGAUGGAAAGCACAAACUGUGUCCAUCGAUUGCUUUGCAGCUCCAGAUUUUUGCUGCUCUCAGUGGAAUUUAAUUCAGUCCAUGUGAAGGCUGAAUGAUGGUCAGUUUUGCAUUCUGCACCUAAAAUCUUGUUGGAAAGACUGCAGACUGGCUGGUGCUGGCUGUAGGAAGAACUGUUGCAUAAUGGGAGCACUGAUGUCCUCAGCAAAAUUUAAUAAAGCUCAUCAAAACUCCCUUUGCUGCCCAGCAAAAAAAACACUCCUUGAGAUACAGAAAAGCACACUUUUAAAUGGAAGAGAAACCAAAGUACCUUGUAUCAUGUAAGCAAAGGUGUAUUUUUUGCCACAUGGAACUGGUUUUUACCAUGAAAAGACUUCGUUGCCCUCAUUGUUCCAUUCUCUUGUAAUUUUUUUUCAGUAAU
Long non-coding RNA from Cyanistes caeruleus (blue tit), 589 nucleotides. RefSeq lists it as uncharacterized. Lineage: Eukaryota; Metazoa; Chordata; Aves; Passeriformes; Paridae. The record is from RefSeq and is a predicted model, not a curated record.